RNAcentral lists this non-coding RNA (24 nucleotides) under Rattus norvegicus (Norway rat). Lineage: Eukaryota; Metazoa; Chordata; Mammalia; Rodentia; Muridae. The record is from RNAcentral.
UAGUUCGAAUGUGCUUGGCCAAGG